GGUUCAGGACGAACGCUGGCGGCGUGCUUAACACAUGCAAGUCGAGCGAUGAAGCUCCUUCGGGAGUGGAUUAGCGGCGGACGGGUGAGUAACACGUGGGUAACCUGCCUCAUAGAGGGGAAUAGCCUUUCGAAAGGAAGAUUAAUACCGCAUAAGAUUGUAGUACCGCAUGGUACAGCAAUUAAAGGAGUAAUCCGCUAUGAGAUGGACCCGCGUCGCAUUAGCUAGUUGGUGAGGUAACGGCUCACCAAGGCGACGAUGCGUAGCCGACCUGAGAGGGUGAUCGGCCACAUUGGGACUGAGACACGGCCCAGACUCCUACGGGAGGCAGCAGUGGGGAAUAUUGCACAAUGGGGGAAACCCUGAAUGCAGCAACGCCGCGUGAGUGAUGACGGCCUUCGGGUUGUAAAACUCUGUCUUUGGGGACGAUAAUGACGGUACCCAAGGAGGAAGCCACGGCUAACUACGUGCCAGCCGCGGC
This 481-nucleotide ribosomal RNA is filed under the name uncultured bacterium. RNAcentral's name for it is "bacterial SSU rRNA". It matches the Rfam family "Bacterial small subunit ribosomal RNA", at positions 21 to 518 of the family's 1533-position model. The record is from RNAcentral.